GCCUAGUUCGCCCAUUUCCGUUUGACGUUCUUUCUUUCGUUCUCAAAUCGUCGUUCCGACCAGAAGGAAAAUGAGAGCUAAGUGGCGUAAGAAGCGUAUGCGUAGGUUGAAGCGUAAGCGCAGGAAGAUGCGUGCAAGGUCCAAGUAAUCGCAGCGCCAUCGCCCACUGAAUGGAACUUUUGACCGCAGCCAACAUACCGAAACAUGCCGUCUGGGGUACCCGAUUGCGGGGGCCCACAUGUAAUUUUGCAAGACCAGUUUUCACACGAACGAACAUGUGCAUUUAGAAUUCACUUUGAAAUUUCACGUAAAAAUUGUUUCCAAUAAAUUACUGGAUUUUCGCAAAAGUUCCACAAAUGAA
Molecule: long non-coding RNA, 361 nt
Organism: Drosophila serrata
Lineage: Eukaryota; Metazoa; Arthropoda; Insecta; Diptera; Drosophilidae
Source: RefSeq, a predicted model, not a curated record